GGACUUGCACAAGUAGUGGAUUAUGUGGUUUAAUUCGAUGAUAAACGAAGAACCUUACCAAGGUUAGAAAUCAAUCUGAAAGCUCGGAGAAACUCGAGCCCUCGCAAGACAGAUUGACAGGUGAUGCAUGGCCGUCGUCAGUUCGUGGUUUGAAUUGUUCCCUUAAGUGGGGUAACGAACGCAACCCUCAUCGUGUGUUAUACGUGUCACACGAGACUGCCCCGACCCAAGGAAAUAAUUACUUUUUAGCAAUUGUGUCUUUCGGUCGGGGAGGAAGGGGAGGAUGACGCCAGGUCAGCAUGUCCCUUGAUACCUUGGGCUACACACAUAAUACAAUCGCCACCACAACGGGAAGCGACGGGGUAACCCUGAGCAAAUCCUAAGAAAAGUGGCGUCAGUUCGGAUUGGGGGCUGCAACUCGACCCCAUGAAGCUGGAAUUACUAGUAAUCGCGGGUCAGACAUACCGCGGUGAAUACGUUCUCAAGUCUU
RNAcentral lists this ribosomal RNA (490 nucleotides) under uncultured bacterium. Its description in RNAcentral is "bacterial SSU rRNA". It matches the Rfam family "Bacterial small subunit ribosomal RNA", at positions 917 to 1382 of the family's 1533-position model. The record is from RNAcentral.